This 253-nucleotide ribosomal RNA is filed under the name uncultured bacterium. RNAcentral's name for it is "partial 16S ribosomal RNA". It matches the Rfam family "Bacterial small subunit ribosomal RNA", at positions 524 to 776 of the family's 1533-position model. The record is from RNAcentral.
UACGAAGGGGGCUAGCGUUGCUCGGAAUCACUGGGCGUAAAGCGCACGUAGGCGGCUUCUUAAGUCAGGGGUGAAAUCCUGGAGCUCAACUCCAGAACUGCCUUUGAUACUGAGGAGCUUGAGUCCGGGAGAGGUGAGUGGAAUUCCUAGUGUAGAGGUGAAAUUCGUAGAUAUUAGGAAGAACACCAGUGGCGAAGGCGGCUCACUGGCCCGGUACUGACGCUGAGGCGCGAAAGCGUGGGGAGCAAACAGG